Molecule: ribosomal RNA, 488 nt
Filed under: uncultured bacterium
Lineage: Bacteria
Description: partial 16S ribosomal RNA
Rfam family: Bacterial small subunit ribosomal RNA
Source: RNAcentral
AUUGAACGCUGGCGGCAUGCUUUACACAUGCAAGUCGAACGGCAGCACAGGGAGCUUGCUCCUGGGUGGCGAGUGGCGAACGGGUGAGUAAUGUAUCGGAACGUGCCUGGUAGUGGGGGAUAACUACUCGAAAGAGUGGCUAAUACCGCAUGAGAUCUUUGGAUGAAAGCGGGGGACCUUCGGGCCUCGUGCUACUGGAGCGGCCGAUAUCAGAUUAGGUUGUUGGUGGGGUGAAGGCCUACCAAGCCUGCGAUCUGUAGCUGGUCUGAGAGGACGACCAGCCACACUGGGACUGAGACACGGCCCAGACUCCUACGGGAGGCAGCAGUGGGGAAUUUUGGACAAUGGGCGCAAGCCUGAUCCAGCAAUGCCGCGUGCAGGACGAAGGCCUUCGGGUUGUAAACUGCUUUUGUACAGAACGAAAAGUCUCUGGCUAAUAUCUAGAGAUCAUGACGGUACUGUAAGAAUAAGCACCGGCUAACUACGUG